RNAcentral lists this small RNA (87 nucleotides) under Streptococcus suis BM407. RNAcentral describes it as "RNA anti-toxin A". It matches the Rfam family "RNA anti-toxin A". Lineage: Bacteria; Bacillati; Bacillota; Bacilli; Lactobacillales; Streptococcaceae. The record is from Rfam by way of RNAcentral.
UAAUAAACAUAGGAAAAGGUAGUUGCUGGAAACAACUACCCCUUGCAGAACCGUUUAAGACGGUGGCUUGUUAUAAAUUAUUAAAAA